UACGUAGGAUCCGAGCGUUGUCCGGAAUUACUGGGCGUAAAGGGUGCGUAGGCGGCAAUGUGCGUCAGAGGUGAAAUCCACGGGCUUAACUUGUGGGGUGCCUUUGAUACGGCAUAGCUUGAGUACGAGAGAGGUCGAUGGAAUUCCUGGUGUAGCAGUGAAAUGCGUAGAUAUCAGGAGGAACACCGGUGGCGAAGGCGGUCGGCUGGCUCGUAACUGACGCUGAGGCACGAAAGCGUGGGGAUCAAACAGGAUUAGAAACCCUAGUAGUCC
This 273-nucleotide ribosomal RNA is filed under the name uncultured prokaryote. RNAcentral describes it as "partial 16S ribosomal RNA". It matches the Rfam family "Bacterial small subunit ribosomal RNA", at positions 524 to 796 of the family's 1533-position model. The record is from RNAcentral.